AGACCGAUAGCAAACAAGUACCGUGAGGGAAGAUUGAAAAGAACUUUGAAGAGAGAGUUCAAUAGUACGUGAAACUGUGUGGUGGUAAACGGAGGGGUUCUCGAAGUUUCUGCGGGGAACUCAACCUUGGUGUUGGGCGGUCAGGGCGUAUCCGAUCAGCAAUGACUGUGCGCUCUGUCUGGCUUGGCUCUCGGGUGCAUUUCCCCCGUAGUUUACGGCAGGAACCGUUUGGUGCGGACCGAAGGCCUCGGGUGAAGUUGUCGCUUAUGGUGGCAGCCCUGGGUGUCCUGGCUCUGCGCUCGACGGGUACGUGAGAGGACUCGUAUAGCGAGCAACGCUCUGUUGCGGUUCUCAUCUCUCUGCCGAGUAGGUCGGUGGCCCCUCCGACCCGUCUUGAAACACGGAC
RNAcentral lists this ribosomal RNA (406 nucleotides) under Undeuchaeta plumosa. RNAcentral describes it as "eukaryotic LSU rRNA". It matches the Rfam family "Eukaryotic large subunit ribosomal RNA", at positions 331 to 666 of the family's 3401-position model. Lineage: Eukaryota; Metazoa; Arthropoda; Copepoda; Calanoida; Aetideidae. The record is from RNAcentral.